GUAGAAGACUGGAAUUCCUGGUGUAGCGGUGAAAUGCGCAGAUAUCAGGAGGAACACCGGUGGCGAAGGCGGGUCUCUGGGUAGUAACUGACGCUGAGGAGCGAAAGCAUGGGUAGCGAACAGGAUUAGAUACCCUGGUAGUCCAUGCCGUAAACGGUGGGCGCUAGGUGUGGGGUCCUUCCACGGACUCCGUGCCGUAGCUAACGCAUUAAGCGCCCCGCCUGGGGAGUACGGCCGCAAGGCUAAAACUCAAGAAUUUGACGGAA
This 266-nucleotide ribosomal RNA is filed under the name Dietzia maris. RNAcentral's name for it is "partial 16S ribosomal RNA". It matches the Rfam family "Bacterial small subunit ribosomal RNA", at positions 654 to 918 of the family's 1533-position model. Lineage: Bacteria; Bacillati; Actinomycetota; Actinomycetes; Mycobacteriales; Dietziaceae. The record is from RNAcentral.